This 446-nucleotide ribosomal RNA is filed under the name uncultured bacterium. Its description in RNAcentral is "bacterial SSU rRNA". It matches the Rfam family "Bacterial small subunit ribosomal RNA", at positions 329 to 792 of the family's 1533-position model. The record is from RNAcentral.
UGCCAGACUCCUACGGGAGGCAGCAGUGGGGAAUAUUGCACAAUGGGGGGAACCCUGAUGCAGCGACGCCGCGUGGGUGAAGGAGAACCUCGGUGCGUAAAGCCCUAUCGGCAGGGAAGAAACAGACGGUACCUGACUAAGAAGCACCGGCUAAAUACGUGCCAGCAGCCGCGGUAAUACGUAUGGGGCAAGCGUUAUCCGGAUUUACUGGGCGUAAAGGGAGCGCAGGCGGCAUGGCAAGUCUGAUGUGAAAACCCGGGGCCCAACCCCGGGAGUGCAUUGGAAACUGCCAGGCUGGAGUGUCGGAGGGGUAAGCGGAAUUCCUAGUGUAGCGGUGAAAUGCGUAGAUAUUAGGAGGAACACCAGUGGCGAAGGCGGCUUACUGGACGACUACUGACGCUGAGGCUCGAAAGCGUGGGGAGCAAACAGGAUUAGAUACCCGAGUA